RNAcentral lists this ribosomal RNA (492 nucleotides) under uncultured bacterium. Its description in RNAcentral is "partial 16S ribosomal RNA". It matches the Rfam family "Bacterial small subunit ribosomal RNA", at positions 29 to 507 of the family's 1533-position model. The record is from RNAcentral.
AGUGAACGCUGGCGGUAGGCCUAACACAUGCAAGUCGAACGGCAGCACAGUAAGAGCUUGCUCUUACGGGUGGCGAGUGGCGGACGGGUGAGGAAUACAUCGGAAUCUACUUUUUCGUGGGGGAUAACGUAGGGAAACUUACGCUCAUACCGCAUACGACCUACGGGUGAAAGCAGGGGAUCUUCGGACCUUGCGCGAUUGAAUGAGCCGAUGUCGGAUUAGCUAGUUGGCGGGGUAAAGGCCCACCAAGGCGACGAUCCGUAGCUGGUCUGAGAGGAUGAUCAGCCAAAAUGGAACUGAGACAAGGUCCAGACUCCUACGGGAGGAAGCAGUGGGGAAUAUUGGACAAUGGGCGCAAGCCUGAUCCAGCCAUACCGCGUGGGUGAAGAAGGCCUUCGGGUUGUAAAGCCCUUUUGUUGGGAAAGAAAAGCAGCAGGUUAAUACCCCGCUGUUCUGACGGUACCCAAAGAAUAAGCACCGGCUAACUUCGUG